RNAcentral lists this ribosomal RNA (497 nucleotides) under uncultured bacterium. RNAcentral's name for it is "partial 16S ribosomal RNA". It matches the Rfam family "Bacterial small subunit ribosomal RNA", at positions 28 to 507 of the family's 1533-position model. The record is from RNAcentral.
GAUGAACGCUGGCGGCGUGCCUAAUACAUGCAAGUCGAGCGAACAGACGAGGAGCUUGCUCCUCUGACGUUAGCGGCGGACGGGUGAGUAACACGUGGAUAACCUACCUAUAAGACUGGGAUAACUUCGGGAAACCGGAGCUAAUACCGGAUAAUAUAUUGAACCGCAUGGUUCAAUAGUGAAUGACGGUUUUGCUGUCACUUAUAGAUGUAUCCGCGCCGCAUUAGCUAGUUGGUAAGGUAACGGCUUACCAAGGCAACGAUGCGUAGCCGACCUGAGAGGGUGAUCGGCCACACUGGAACUGAGACACGGUCCAGACUACUACGGGAGGCAGCAGUAGGGAAUAUUCCGCAAUGGGCGAAAGCAUGACGGAGCAACGCCGCGUGAGUGAUGAAGGUCUUCGGAUCGUAAAACUCUGUUAUUAGGGAAGAACAAAUGUGUAAGUAACUAUGCACGUCUUGACGGUAACUAAUCAGAAAGCAACGGCUAACUACGUG